Molecule: ribosomal RNA, 700 nt
Filed under: uncultured delta proteobacterium
Lineage: Bacteria; Deltaproteobacteria
Description: bacterial SSU rRNA
Rfam family: Bacterial small subunit ribosomal RNA
Source: RNAcentral
ACGCGUGGGUAACCUGCCCUUGAAUCCGGGAUAACUUCGCGAAAGCGUUGCUAAUACCGGAUACCGUUCCUGAAACCGUGGUUUUAGGAAUGAAAGGUGACCACUUCAUGAAAGUUGCCGUUUAAGGAGGGGCUCGCGUACCAUUAGCUUGUUGGUGGGGUAAUGGCCUACCAAGGCGACGAUGGUUAGCUGGUCUGAGAGGAUGAUCAGCCACACUGGAACUGAAACACGGUCCAGACUCCUACGGGAGGCAGCAGUGAGGAAUUUUGCGCAAUGGGGGAAACCCCGACGCAGCAACGCCGCGUGAGUGAAGAAGGCCUUCGGGUCGUAAAGCUCUGUCAAGUGGGAAAAAAGCCUUUUAAUUAAUAGUUAAAAGGUCUGAUGGUACCACUAGAGGAAGCACCGGCUAACUCCGUGCCAGCAGCCGCGGUAAUACGGAGGGUGCAAGCGUUGUUCGGAAUUACUGGGCGUAAAGAGCGUGUAGGCGGUAUGGUAAGUCAGAUGUGAAAGCCCAGGGCUUAACCUUGGAAGUGCAUUUGAUACUGCUAUUCUUGAGUAUGGGAGAGGAGAGUGGAAUUCCCAGUGUAGAGGUGAAAUUCGUAGAUAUUGGGAGGAACAUCCGUGGCGAAGGCGACUCUCUGGACCAAUACUGACGCUGAGACGCGAAAGCGUGGGGAGCAAACAGGAUUAGAUACCCUGG